This 1341-nucleotide small RNA is filed under the name Pongo abelii (Sumatran orangutan). RNAcentral describes it as "unitary pseudogene". Lineage: Eukaryota; Metazoa; Chordata; Mammalia; Primates; Hominidae. The record is from RNAcentral.
CAGUUUGUGGGGAAGUAUGAGACCCUUGUGUUUUACUGGCCGUUGCUGCUGUGCCUUGCCUUCCUGCUGGGUCGCUUCCUGCAUAUGUUUGUCAAGGCUCUGAGGGUGCACCUCGGCUGGGAGCUCCAGGUGGAAGAAAAAUCUGUCCUGGAAGCGCACCAGGGAGAGCACGUCAAGCAGCUCCUGAGGAUACCCCGCCCUGAGAAAAAAAAGUCUUGGUUCCAAACCAGGAUAUAUGAGUGGGAUCCCUGCUUUCAAUUUCCAAGCAGAAUGAUUGGAACCAUUGUGUUGGCAUUCAUCUGCCUUAUCUUUUCAUUGUCAUCGAGUUCUGCAUGUUUGUGUACGUGAGAGAUAAGUUGGACAUGUUUGAAAACAAGCUGGAAAGCUACAUCACCUUCACGAACCAUUCAGGGGUCCUGACCCCAGUCAUCCUGCAGGUGAAAGAGCUGAUCAAUGUCAGCAAAGUCUGGGUGGUGACCAUUUUGCCCACCUCUCUCACGUGUGUGAGCUAUCUGUUCCACAUUUUGGUCUGUUACAAGCACAUAAAGAGGCUAUGGGCAGGAGAUAAACAUUUUCUUCCUUUGAAGUUCCAUAACCCGGCCUCGUCGGAGAGCGUGGUGGCCAUUGCAAGGUACUCUGGCUGGCAAAUAGUCUAUAUUCUAUGGUACCUCAUCAUUCACAUGGUGCAGAGCCUAUGUGGCAUGGCAAUCACGUACGGCCUGGUGCUACCCAUCGUCCACAACCAGGGCCUGGAAAUGCUGCAAGGGCUGGGCAUCGGGACUCAUGAUAUCCAUCGUCGUGGGUCUCAUGAUCCUGCAGAUGUGUAUCGCUGCCAGCUUCUUCCUGCAGCCAAAGCUGGGCACGGCUGACAAGCAGAAGCCCCUGGCUCUCAACAACAAAGCUUUCCACAACUUCAACUACUUUCUGUUCUUCUACAGUGUGCUGCUGGGCCUGGGUGCCUGCCUUUCCAGGCUGCUCAUCAGUUGCCUCCUCGGCAUGUGGCUGAUUGCCCACAUCGACAGGACCAUCAUGCAGAGUGGCUAUGAGGGAGCAGACAUGUUCAGUGCAUGGAUUGGGAUGCUCUACGUGGACCAUUAUCACACCAACCCUGUGCUUGUCAGCUUUUGCCACAUCCUGAUCACAAAUCACAGGGAGAAGAAGCUGCAGCAGAGCACCAAAUACUGGUGCCUAAAUCAAUCGGCACCCCAUGUCUCAGCUAGGUCCAGAACAAGGUGGUUCCUGUUGCAGACCCUAAUCAACAACCCAAGACUCACCAUGCACAGAAAACUAAAAUCAGGGCACAGUUCCCAGGAGUCCCAAAUUCUGAAGGCAUGCUCGGAG